CGCGGGGUAGAGCAGUUGGUAGCUCGUCGGGCUCAUAACCCGGAGGUCGCAAGUUCGAGUCUUGUCCCCGCAACCA
This 76-nucleotide transfer RNA is filed under the name Eubacterium sp. RNAcentral describes it as "tRNA-Met". It matches the Rfam family "tRNA". Rfam says of the family: Transfer RNA (tRNA) molecules are approximately 80 nucleotides in length. Their secondary structure includes four short double-helical elements and three loops (D, anti-codon, and T loops). Further hydrogen bonds mediate the characteristic L-shaped molecular structure. tRNAs have two regions of fundamental functional importance: the anti-codon, which is responsible for specific mRNA codon recognition, and the 3' end, to which the tRNAs corresponding amino acid is attached (by aminoacyl-tRNA synthetases). tRNAs cope with the degeneracy of the genetic code in two manners: having more than one tRNA (with a specific anti-codon) for a particular amino acid; and 'wobble' base-pairing, i.e. permitting non-standard base-pairing at the 3rd anti-codon position. The record is from RNAcentral. RNAcentral also lists the same sequence under 4 other names. Lineage: Bacteria; Bacillati; Bacillota; Clostridia; Eubacteriales; Eubacteriaceae.